This 357-nucleotide long non-coding RNA is filed under the name Ananas comosus (pineapple). Its description in RNAcentral is "long non-coding RNA (ACOM_LNC034483)". Lineage: Eukaryota; Viridiplantae; Streptophyta; Magnoliopsida; Poales; Bromeliaceae. The record is from RNAcentral.
UAAUUUUAAUAUGUCAUAUGACAUAUAUUUAUAAUGAGAAAAUCCUAACGUAAUCCUAAUCGAAAUCCUAUUCCGAUUAGAUUAUCCAUUAACCCACAAGUUGGUUAUGAUAUUAACCGAAUUCUGAAUCCUAAUUCUAAUUCGAUUCGUAUGUAACAUUUACACAUAAGUCCUCAUAUUAUUUACUAACGAUUAGUAAAUACACCAUGCAACUUUUACACAUAAAUACCUCUAAUUUACAACAAUUGCAAAUUAGUCUUUUUACUAAUAAACUAGUAAACUUUAGUAUUUAAUUAUAAUUAUAAUUAAUCCAUCCGAUAAACUUCUUUUAUCGUUUCCUAAAUAUCGAUCAUGCGC